AGCAGUCGCCGCGGGAAUACGAAGGGUGCAAGCGUUAAUCGGAAUUACUGGGCGUAAAGCGUGCGUAGGCGGUGAGUUAAGUCUGCUGUGAAAUCCCCGGGCUCAACCUGGGAAUGGCAGUGGAUACUGGCUCGCUAGAGUGUGUCAGAGGAUGGUGGAAUUCCCGGUGUAGCGGCGAAAUGCGUAGAGAUCGGGAGGAACAUCAGUGGCGAAGGCGGCCAUCAGGGACAACACUGACGCUGAGGCACGAAAGCGUGGGGAGCAAACAGGAUUAGAUACCCCUGUAGUCCCUGUCUCUUAUAC
RNAcentral lists this ribosomal RNA (303 nucleotides) under uncultured bacterium. RNAcentral describes it as "partial 16S ribosomal RNA". It matches the Rfam family "Bacterial small subunit ribosomal RNA", at positions 507 to 807 of the family's 1533-position model. The record is from RNAcentral.